AGCCAGCGUAGUGUAGUGGUUUUAGCGUUGGACUAUGACUCCAGAGACCAGAGUUCAAUUCCAUGCUUGGCUA
Phrynosoma platyrhinos (Desert horned lizard) is the source of this 73-nucleotide non-coding RNA. The record is from the annotation of a GenBank genome assembly. Lineage: Eukaryota; Metazoa; Chordata; Lepidosauria; Squamata; Phrynosomatidae.